Long non-coding RNA from Hippocampus zosterae (dwarf seahorse), 197 nucleotides. RefSeq lists it as uncharacterized. The record is from RefSeq and is a predicted model, not a curated record. NCBI's taxonomy places the organism in Eukaryota, Metazoa, Chordata, Actinopteri, Syngnathiformes, Syngnathidae. The transcript has 2 exons.
GUAAUUAGUACUUUAAAAGAACUCCCAACCCGACCACACAUUGUCGGGUCAUUGUUGCUUUUUGCUGCUGUCAUGUUUGUUUGUUUGUUUGUCAUGUUUCUUUUUGAGCUUCAGUCAUGGUUUUUGUUUGCUACUUUGGACUUUGUUUGCUUAGGAUUUAGUUUUCUGUGUUUUAUCAAUACACUUCUUCAAAUACA